Lucilia sericata (common green bottle fly) is the source of this 2886-nucleotide RNA transcript. It is a transcript of the gene named E3 SUMO-protein ligase PIAS1, with no coding region annotated. The transcript has 10 exons. NCBI's taxonomy places the organism in Eukaryota, Metazoa, Arthropoda, Insecta, Diptera, Calliphoridae. The record is from RefSeq and is a predicted model, not a curated record.
CUUUUAGUGCAUUCUAUUUGAUACCCAAGAACCAUACCACGAAAGUUUGAUUCCGAAAAAAUUUUCCGCCGCAAACAAGAUUUUAUGGAUGUAAAUUAGAUAAAAGUGUGAUAUAAACAAAUAACUAACAAUUGCCAACUUAAAAAUCUAUUAAGUUUCUAAACAUUGGCAAUUAUUUUACACAAACUAUAUCAAUAUCCUGAUUUUAUGAAUCUCACAUUUAGUUGUGUGUUAAAAAAGCGAAAAUCCUUGUGUAGUGUGCGUGCGUGCGUGUGUUUUUUGUAAGAAAAUCUUGUGAAUCGUUUAAAUAUUUGUAAUGCGUAAGACGCGAUCCCAAACCCAUGCAGAAAACGCGUUACUGUCUGGCAGCGCCACGAGCAGUUCGCGUUCUGGUGUUGUAUCUUCAUCGACCACCACCACCGCCACAAAUCAUCACCAGCAACAUCAACUGAAUUCCGGCAACCCACAAAAGAGGAGUAAUCAACAAUCAUCAGCAGCUACCCCCAAUUUUGCUGAUGCUCCUAGGCUUAAGGAAUGUGAGGAAAUGGUAAGUCUUCUUCGUGUGGUUGAACUACAAAAGAUACUUGUUUAUUUGAACAUUUCCUUUGCUGGACGUAAAAUUGAUUAUCAAAGAAGAAUUUUACAAUUGUUGCGAACUAAUUUUGAAUUAAUUGCACCAAAGAUACGAGAAGUCUACACACAAUCCAUUGUUGAUCAACAAGCCAAUCAAUACGGUCCAACAGAACCGAAAAGAAUGUAUUCACAAAUGCAAAUGCAACCGAAUGCCGGUGGUAUGGUGGGUGCCAAUACUGCGGCUCAAAUGGGACAGGCACAACAAAUAUUAAAUCCAGCUAAUCAGGCUGGCAUGCAAGCUGGUGUACCGCCUGGCAAUAAUGUAGUACCAUUCCUACAUACUAUACCCACUCAAAUGCCCAUUCAUCCCGAUGUACGUUUGAGAAAAUUAGCAUUUUAUGAUGUGCUGGGCACUUUGAUUAAACCAUCAUCAUUAGUGCCUCGUAAUGCUCAGCGCAUACAGGAAGUACCGUUUUAUUUUACAUUAACUCCACAACAAGCCACGGAAAUAGCAUCAAAUCGUGACAUACGCAAUAGUUCGAAAAUCGAACAUGCUAUACAAGUUCAGUUGAGAUUCUGUCUAUUAGAGACAUCAUGCGAUCAAGAGGAUUGUUUUCCACCAAGUGUCAGUGUUAAAGUUAAUAAUAAAUUAUGCCAACUGCCAAAUGUCAUUCCAACAAAUCGUCCCAAUGUGGAACCAAAACGACCACCCCGACCAGUAAAUGUUACAUCAAAUGUUAAACUAUCACCCACAGUAACUAAUACAAUAACUGUGCAAUGGUGUCCAGACUACACACGAGGCUACUGUAUUGCUGUUUAUUUAGUUAAGAAAUUAACAUCUGCUCAACUAUUGCAAAGAAUGAAACAGAAGGGUGUUAAGCCAGCUGAUUAUACUAGAGCUCUAAUCAAAGAAAAGUUAACCGAAGAUGCUGACUGUGAAAUUGCUACGACUAUGUUAAAGGUAUCGUUAAAUUGUCCAUUGGGUAAAAUGAAAAUGUCCAUACCGUGUCGUGCUUCAACAUGCUCACAUUUGCAAUGUUUUGAUGCUAGCCUUUACCUGCAAAUGAACGAACGUAAACCCACUUGGAAUUGUCCAGUUUGUGAUAAACCUGCUGUUUAUGAUAAUCUGGUUAUUGAUGGCUACUUCCAAGAAGUAUUAGCCUCGAAUUUACUUAAACCAGAUGAUACUGAAAUACAAUUGCACAAAGAUGGCUCAUGGAGCACUCAUAGCUUAAGGAAUGAAGGUCAAAUUUUAGAUACCCCUACUAAGCCAGUUGAAAAAGUCGAAGUUAUUUCAGAUGAUAUUGAACUCAUUACCACAGAAGAUGUUAAACCUGUCAAGGCAGUAGCUUCUGCAUCGCUUAAUACAAAUGAACAACCUUCAUCAACUACAAAUAGUGAAACUGUGGACUUGACACUCAGUGAUUCCGAUGAUGAUUUACCUUUGGCGAAACGUCGUCCUAUCGCUAAACAGAAUACCAAUCAAGGAGCACCCUCCUCGACUAUGAACGGCAAUGGUGGAGCUGGUAAUCAAAGAGGCAUGUAUAUGCAACAAAAGAAUGAUAAUGAAGUUAUAUCCUUAGAUUCACCCUCACCACCGGCCAGUCCUAUACGUACGGAUGUGGGUAAAUAUUGAAUGAAUGAUAAGUAGUUAGAAAACAAAAUAAUCGGCUUCAUAAUAUAAAAAUAUGUCUCCUCAACAACCACAACAAUGACAACAAAUAUUUAUCAUAAUCAAUAUUUUACCUCAGAUGAAGCCAAACGCAAUUUUAUGUUAAACCAAUGUGCCUAUAAAAGAUAAACCAAAAAGUAAUGUUUAUUUUCUCUAGUAUUUAGUAAGUUUUCGCAAAAGUUUUAUUUAAAAUACUAAUUUUAAGAGUUUAAUUUAGUUCCCGUAAUUCUCGGUAUAGUAAGUACCCUAAGGAGUUUAGUCUAUAAUUUGAAUCGAAAACAAAUAUUUUAGAUAUAAAAUACAUACCGGAUCGAAAUAAGCAGUAAUUCCCCAAGGACUGUUGUUUUAAAUAAAAAUAUUAAUUUAAAAUGACAUUGCCAAACCAAGUUUAAAAGAAAUUUUUCAGCAAAAGUUAUAAACUCGUUUUAAUUUAAUUAAAAAACAACACAAAUUAUAAAAAUAUGGUGAAUUUUGAAAGUGAAAUAAUAUGGAGGGAUUGUAAUUUGUUUUCAAACCAGAAAUGUUGAAUACUUUAUACGUAUUUCGAAUUUUUUUCCGAUUGAGUUUUAAAACUUUAAUUCAUGCAUAAACAAUUAUUUUGGUAAUUUUUUGCGGUAUAUUUUGUUGUUUGCCAUGAAUAU